CGGCUGCUCAGUAACACGUAGUUAACCUAACCUAUGGACGGGGAUAACCUCGGGAAACUGAGAAUAAUCCCCGACAGAUCACGGUGCCUGGAAUGGCCCGUGGUCCAAAUGAUUUAUCGCCGUAGGAUGGGACUGCGGCCUAUCAGCUAGUUGGUGAGGUAAUGGCCCACCAAGGCUAUAACAGGUACGGGCUCUGAGAGGAGGGGCCCGGAGAUGGGUACUGAGACACGGACCCAGGCCCUAUGGGGCGCAGCAGGCGAGAAACCUUUGCAAUGUGCGAAAGCACGACAAGGUUAAUCCGAGUGUCUCCUGCUAAAGGAGUCUUUUGCCGGUCAUAGAACCACCGGUGAAUAAGGGGUGGGCAAGUUCUGGUGUCAGCCGCCGCGGUAAAACCAGCACCUCGAGUGGUCAGGAGGUUUAUUGGGCCUAAAGCAUCCGUAGCCGGCUGCUCAAGUUUUCGGUUAAAUCUAUGCGCUCAACGUAUAGGCCGCCGAAAAUACUGGGCAGCUAGGGAGUGGGAGAGGUACACGGUACUCAAUAGGAAGGGGUAAAAUCCUUUGAUCUAUUGAUGACCACCUGUGGCGAAGGCGGUGUACCAGAACACGUUCGACGGUGAGGGAUGAAAGCUGGGGGAGCAAACCGGAUUAGAUACCCGGGUAGUCCCAGCUGUAAACGAUGCAGACUCGGUGAUGCAUUGGCUUGUGGCCAAUGCAGUGCCGCAGGGAAGCCGUUAAGUCUGCCGCCUGGGAAGUACGUACGCAAGUAUGAAACUUAAAGGAAUUGGCGGGGGAGCACCACAAGGGGUGAAGCCUGCGGGUUCAAUUGGAGUCAACGCCAGAAAUCUUACCUGGGGCG
This 855-nucleotide ribosomal RNA is filed under the name uncultured archaeon. RNAcentral describes it as "bacterial SSU rRNA". It matches the Rfam family "Archaeal small subunit ribosomal RNA", at positions 83 to 938 of the family's 1478-position model. The record is from RNAcentral.